Molecule: ribosomal RNA, 253 nt
Filed under: uncultured bacterium
Lineage: Bacteria
Description: partial 16S ribosomal RNA
Rfam family: Bacterial small subunit ribosomal RNA
Source: RNAcentral
GACGGGGGGUGGAAGCGUUAUCCGGAAUCACUGGGCGUAAAGCGUCUGUAGGUGGUGAUGCAAGUCACUGGUGCAAAACUCUGGCUCAACCGGAGGAAAGCCAGUGAAACUGCAUGACUAGAGUGUGGGAGAGGUAGAAGGAAUUCCCUGAGUAGCGGUGAAAUGCGUAGAUACAGGGAAGAACACCGGAGGCGAAAGCGUUCUACUGGAACACAACUGACACUGAGAGACGAAAGCUAGGGGAGCGAAUGUG